GAUGAACGCUGGCGGCGUGCCUAAUACAUGCAAGUCGAGCGAACGGACGAGAAGCUUGCUUUUCUGAUGUUAGCGGCGGACGGGUGAGUAACACGUGGAUAACCUACCUAUAAGACUGGGAUAACUUCGGGAAACCGGAGCUAAUACCGGAUAAUAUUUUGAACCGCAUGGUUCAAAAGUGAAAGACGGUCUUGCUGUCACUUAUAGAUGGAUCCGCGCUGCAUUAGCUAGUUGGUAAGGUAACGGCUUACCAAGGCAACGAUGCAUAGCCGACCUGAGAGGGGGGUCGGCCACCCUGGAACUGAGACACGGUCCAGACUCCUACGGGAGGCAGCAGUAGGGAAUCUUCCGCAGAGGGCGAAAGCCUGACGGAGCAACGCCGCGUGAGUGAUGAAGGUCUUCGGAUCGUAAAACUCUGUUAUUAGGGAAGAACAUAUGUGUAAGUAACUGUGCACAUCUUGACGGUACCUAAUCAGAAAGCCACGGCUAACUACGUG
Molecule: ribosomal RNA, 497 nt
Filed under: uncultured bacterium
Lineage: Bacteria
Description: partial 16S ribosomal RNA
Rfam family: Bacterial small subunit ribosomal RNA
Source: RNAcentral